AACGUAGAGUGCAAGCGUUGUCCGGAAUUACUGGGUGUAAAGGGAGCGCAGGCGGACCGGCAAGUUGGAAGUGAAAACUAUGGGCUCAACCCAUAAAUUGCUUUCAAAACUGCUGGCCUUGAGUAGUGCAGAGGUAGGUGGAAUUCCCGGUGUAGCGGUGGAAUGCGUAGAUAUCGGGAGGAACACCAGUGGCGAAGGCGACCUACUGGGCACCAACUGACGCUGAGGCUCGAAAGCAUGGGUAGCAAACAGG
RNAcentral lists this ribosomal RNA (253 nucleotides) under Gemmiger formicilis. Its description in RNAcentral is "partial 16S ribosomal RNA". It matches the Rfam family "Bacterial small subunit ribosomal RNA", at positions 524 to 776 of the family's 1533-position model. Lineage: Bacteria; Bacillati; Bacillota; Clostridia; Eubacteriales; Oscillospiraceae. The record is from RNAcentral.